This 500-nucleotide ribosomal RNA is filed under the name uncultured bacterium. RNAcentral's name for it is "partial 16S ribosomal RNA". It matches the Rfam family "Bacterial small subunit ribosomal RNA", at positions 30 to 523 of the family's 1533-position model. The record is from RNAcentral.
AUUGAACGCUGGCGGCAUGCCUUACACAUGCAAGUCGAACGGCAGCACGGACUUCGGUCUGGUGGCGAGUGGCGAACGGGUGAGUAAUGUAUCGGAACGUACCCUUCAGUGGGGGAUAACUAUCCGAAAGGAUAGCUAAUACCGCAUAUUCUCUGAGGAGGAAAGCGGGGGAUCGCAAGACCUCGCGCUGAUGGAGCGGCCGAUAUCAGAUUAGCUAGUUGGUGGGGUAAAGGCCUACCAAGGCGACGAUCUGUAGCGGGUCUGAGAGGAUGAUCCGCCACACUGGGACUGAGACACGGCCCAGACUCCUACGGGAGGCAGCAGUGGGGAAUUUUGGGCAAUGGGGGCAACCCUGAUCCAGCCAUGCCGCGUGAGUGAAGAAGGCCUUCGGGUUGUAAAGCUCUUUCGGCCGGGAAGAAAUCGCGUGAGUUAAUACCUUGCGUGGAUGACGGUACCGGAAUAAGAAGCACCGGCUAACUACGUGCCAGCAGCCGCCGUAA